AAUAAAUAAAUAGCCCAGAUAAGACUUCAGCAUCAUGAAGCUGGUCCCCUUAGAGGCAUCUCUGCAAGGCCUCAUGUGGUCUCCUGGCCCAUGGUGGGUAACGUUUGGGCAACAUAACAUAACACACAUAGGUACAUGCACACACAUGUCUGAUAUGUAGAAAUAUGCAGAUGUGUGUACAAAGACAUGGACACAUGUCCAUUGCAACAGCACAUGUGAAUAUGUGGAAACACGCAUAUGCACGAGCACACACAUGUGUCGCAUGGCACAUACAUGAAUACGCAUAUGCAGAAACAGACUCAUGGACACAAAUCCAUGUGCCCAUGCACACCUCUAACCCACUAAAUAGUCUAGUCUUAAUUGUCCCCGCUUUGCAGAUAAGAAAUCAGAAGCAUAAAAGUUGCACAACUACUAAGUUACAGAACCAGAAUUUGAAUGCAGGUAUCUUAUUCCCAAUUCUGUGCUUCUAACAUCCGUGUAAAAUAACCUCUAGAAAAAAGUGAUCAUUAACAAAAGAAAAAAUCAUUCUGGUCUCAGAUAUCUCCUUUGCAACACAAAAGUCCAAAAGUGAGUUAGUAAUAUCUAGAGUUUUGAUGAAAAGGAAUCUCUAAUCCAUGAUUCAUAGCUCAGGUGUUUUUCAGCAGUAAAAGCAAAAGAAAGAUAGCCUUAGUUAUGUAAGUGCCAAUCUUAAAAGAUUUAUUCAUAGCUAUACUUUUACCAACUAAGAGAAGAAGCAGAUUAAGAAUUCAUAAAUGAUAAAAUCAAGGUAGGAGUGGACUGGUGGUUAGUACUAAAAUGAAUUAUGAUAAAUAAAAGAGUAAUUUGUGAAUGUAUACAAAAUUGAAUACCAAUGUCAAAAAUCAUUCUUGAAAAGAAUACUUCUAACAUAUCAAAUAAUAAUGAAAUUUUAUUAUAUUUAAAAGCCUAGAUUAUAUUGACCACAGACCAAAGAGUCGUUGAUUGGUAAGGGGAUCAAAAGAAGACACUUAAUUCAUUAUUUUAAGGUAGAAAUUCAAAAGAAACCAUUUACCCUUAAAAAUAGAUUAAGGAAUGUUUUUUAAAAAUUAAUGGUAAUUACUAAAUUAAAAAAAAUGGAGUACAUACCUCCCAACCUCAAGACAAGAUAAAAGUAAAGACACCAUUGCCCUUAAAAUAAAAGAAAAUAAAACAAAUCAAGAAAAGAAAACAAGUUAAGAAGCUCUGCUAACCAAGAACUUGUAGAAGGAUGGCAUAAAUAAGAAUAAAUGCACCCACUGUAAGAAUAAAUGUAAACAGAUUAAAUUUCCUACUAUUCGAAAAGGACCUUAGGAUUCUGUUAAAAAAAAUAAACAAGAAAAAUACUAUGUUUUUUGAAUGCCACCCUUACAACAAGUGACACAGGAAGUUGAAAAGCAGAAAAAUGGACAAAGAUAUUAAAGCAAAUGCAAAUCUUUAAAAAAAAUCUUGACGAAACAGAAAUUCAGUAUUGGUCAAGAUAGGCCAAAUAGAGGCAUUAAAGGAUACAAAUUUAACAUAAAUGACAAGAAUUUAACAUUGAAUGAUAUGAAGAAAAAAUAUGAAUUUCAUUUUUAUAGAUAGAUAUUUUACAGUGAAAAGAUAGUAGUCAUCAAUCUUGUAUCAACUAUGUAAAGCACAAACUGUUAGAAACAUACUUUGUAGAGGAAUAAAUUUACAAGAGCACAGUGGAGUUGGGAAAUUUGAACACACCUGUAUUAGUCA
This 1719-nucleotide long non-coding RNA is filed under the name Canis lupus familiaris (dog). RNAcentral's name for it is "lncRNA (ENSCAFG00000054856.1)". Lineage: Eukaryota; Metazoa; Chordata; Mammalia; Carnivora; Canidae. The record is from RNAcentral.